CCUUGCCCCCAGCUAUGUCGUUGCCCAACAAAAAUGACACCCCGUCAACUGGCAACUUUUGGACCACCCCUACACGGAACCGGCCAGACACAACAGACGACGACAGGGACAGAGACGCCACCACCUCCUGUGCCUUCCCUGUCAGCCUACACUGGAGCAGCAAAGGCCAGACCUCCUUAGGCCAGCGAAGAGCCCCUGCUACUCUCUCAAAAGCGGAGAAGUAGGAAUCCACUUCUGCUUCUCUGAAUGGAGGAACGACAGCUAUGUUUCUCCCAACAUCAAAAGGCCCCUCUCUUCCCACUGGUCAGCUUCAAGGCGGGCCAGCCGAAGCCUAUGUCUAGCGGUCUCCCCCGAGCCCUCAGGCUCAAAAGGAGAUGGCUCGAACUUGGGUAGGGUCAAAGGCACCCGUGUCGCCACCCCCACACCGCCCUCCGGCCGUGCAGGCGAG
Esox lucius (northern pike) is the source of this 448-nucleotide long non-coding RNA. Lineage: Eukaryota; Metazoa; Chordata; Actinopteri; Esociformes; Esocidae. The record is from Ensembl.